AGAGUUUGAUCAUGGCUCAGGAUGAACGCUAGCGGCAGGCUUAAUACAUGCAAGUCGAGGGGCAGCGGGGUAGCAAUACCGCCGGCGACCGGCAAACGGGUGCGGAACACGUACAGAACCUUCCUUUAAGCGGGGAAUAGCCCGGAGAAAUCCGGAUUAAUACCCCAUAGUAAUAUUGAUUGGCAUCAAUUGGUAUUUAAAGAUUUAUCACUUAAAGAUGGCUGUGCGGCUGAUUAGGUAGUUGGUGCGGGUAACGGCCCACCAAGCCAGCGAUCAGUAACUGGUGUGAGAGCACGACCAGUCACACGGGCACUGAGACACGGGCCCGACUCCUACGGGAGGCAGCAGUAAGGAAUAUUGGUCAAUGGACGCAAGUCUGAACCAGCCAUGCCGCGUGAAGGAUGAAGGUCCUCUGGAUUGUAAACUUCUUUUAUCUGGGACGAAACACUCUUAUUCUUAAGAGCUUGACGGUACCAGAGGAAUAAGCACCGGCUAACUCCGUGCCAGCAGCCGCGGUAAUACGGAGGGUGCAAGCGUUAUCCGGAUUCACUGGGUUUAAAGGGUGCGUAGGUGGGAAUGUAAGUCAGUGGUGAAAUCUCCGUGCUUAACAUGGAAACUGCCAUUGAUACUAUGUUUCUUGAAUCUUCCGGAGGUCAGCGGAAUAUGUCAUGUAGCGGUGAAAUGCUUAGAUAUGACAUAGAACACCAAUUGCGAAGGCAGCUGACUACAGGAGCAUUGACACUGAGGCACGAAAGCGUGGGGAUCAAACAGGAUUAGAUACCCUAGUAGUCC
Molecule: ribosomal RNA, 792 nt
Filed under: uncultured bacterium
Lineage: Bacteria
Description: bacterial SSU rRNA
Rfam family: Bacterial small subunit ribosomal RNA
Source: RNAcentral